UACGGGGGGGGCAAGCGUUGUUCGGAAUUACUGGGCGUAAAGAGCGUGUAGGCGGCCAGAUAGGUCGGUUGUGAAAACUGGAGGCUCAACCUCCAGACGUCGACCGAAACCCUCUGGCUAGAGUCCGGAAGAGGAGAAUGGAAUUCCUGGUGUAGCGGUGAAGUGCGCAGAUAUCAGGAAGAACACCCGUGGCGAAGGCGGCUCACUGGCCCGGUACUGACGCUGAGGUGCGAAAGCGUGGGGAGCAAACAGG
Molecule: ribosomal RNA, 253 nt
Filed under: uncultured bacterium
Lineage: Bacteria
Description: partial 16S ribosomal RNA
Rfam family: Bacterial small subunit ribosomal RNA
Source: RNAcentral